RNAcentral lists this unclassified non-coding RNA (152 nucleotides) under Schizothecium vesticola. RNAcentral's name for it is "partial internal transcribed spacer 2". The record is from RNAcentral. Lineage: Eukaryota; Fungi; Ascomycota; Sordariomycetes; Sordariales; Schizotheciaceae.
CAACCAUCAAGCGCCUGCGCUUGUGUUGGAGCCCUGCGGCUGCCGCAGGCUCCCAAACCCAGUGGCGGGCUCGUCGUCGUACCGAGUGCAGUAAACUUACCACGCUCAGGGCGCGCGACGGGUAACCGGCCGUAAAACCCCCAACUUAUCAA